AUGACUGUUUUAGUGUUUUUAUCCAUCAGGAAACUCUGCCUUCAUCUACAACCCAAGCAUGAAGAGAUGGCAACUCAGAUUCUUCACCCCAGGAAUCCUCAGCACCAGCUCACUAGCAUCUGUAGACUAGAUACCUGUAACAACUUCAGAUACAGAGACAUAUUACGGUCAGAUUUAUCAAGAAUGACAAAAAACAUAAUUAAAAGCAGUAAAAAUACGUCAGAGCAGCAGCACAAGUAAGACAAAAACAGUGAAAUGUGUAAAUGUAAAAUGUAUUUAUAUUAUUUCAGCUAUGCUCUCAAACUUAUUUAUUUGUAUAAUGUAAGCUAAAGUAGUGUUUUCUAUUAACGAGAGUUUUCUAGGUAAGUUGUGUUGUGAAUAUUCAAGCUGCACAGGCCAUUUAGCAUACGCAUUAGCAACCGCUAGUCGCUUUGCAAAUUACAUAAAUCAAUUAAAUUGAAGUAAAUGCGACAUUACCAAUGAGACACAUCUUGCAUCAGCCGAAAUGUGGCGACUUUAACAGCCUCCUCUUCAGCUUCAGGGUCAGAUUCGGUAUCGUAGACGUAUGGUUCUACUACGCUACCGGAUCAGCUGGCUGGCUAUUGUCGUGCAGGCCUGUAGUGGGUCUUCUUCUUCUGUGGAGGAUGCGUUGGAUUGCAUUCUCAAUGUCGCACUACUGCCACCUAUAGUAUCCUAACCGUGCGGUGGCUCGUAUCCAUGAAGCCAAUUAAAAAAAAAAAAAAAAAAAAAAGGUAUGCGCUUCCGCACAGAGGUGUGGUGAGCAGCUUCGCUUGCGACAUGCCUAGAAAACACAGCCUUUGCUGUUGGAGUAAGAACCACAUAUUGACAGGGGCAGUGUGGACGAUCUAAAGGGUUUUAUGGGAUGAAAAUUUACAGAGACCUUACUGAGACAUUAAAGUCUAAUAUUUUUUAGAAUGAAAAGUAUGAUCAGUCUCCUUUAACAAUAAGAAUAAGAAAAGCUUUAAUAGGCCGAGAAACUGCGUCACACAACAGCAUUAUACAGAGAAGGAAAAUAAAAUACAGCAACAAGAAUUAAGACA
This 1061-nucleotide long non-coding RNA is filed under the name Betta splendens (Siamese fighting fish). RNAcentral describes it as "lncRNA (ENSBSLG00000023316.1)". The record is from RNAcentral. Lineage: Eukaryota; Metazoa; Chordata; Actinopteri; Anabantiformes; Osphronemidae.